UACAGAGGAUGCAAGCGUUAUCCGGAAUGAUUGGGCGUAAAGCGCACGUAGGCGGCUUUGUAAGUUAGAGGUGAAAGCCCAGGGCUUAACCCUGGAAUUGCCUUUAAGACUGCAUCGCUAGAAUCGUGGAGAGGUAAGUGGAAUUCCGAGUGUAGAGGUGAAAUUCGUAGAUAUUCGGAAGAACACCAGUGGCGAAGGCGACUUACUGGACACGUAUUGACGCUGAGGUGCGAAAGCGUGGGGAGCAAACAGG
This 253-nucleotide ribosomal RNA is filed under the name uncultured bacterium. RNAcentral describes it as "partial 16S ribosomal RNA". It matches the Rfam family "Bacterial small subunit ribosomal RNA", at positions 524 to 776 of the family's 1533-position model. The record is from RNAcentral.